Long non-coding RNA from Serinus canaria (Common canary), 337 nucleotides. RefSeq lists it as uncharacterized. Lineage: Eukaryota; Metazoa; Chordata; Aves; Passeriformes; Fringillidae. The record is from RefSeq and is a predicted model, not a curated record. The transcript has 3 exons.
CGCAGGCGCGGGCCCGGCGCUCCCUGAGGCGGCGGCGGCGGCUCCGGCGGCUCCUUUGUUCCCCCUGCCGGGACCGGGUUCGGGAUCGCGUUCGGGAUCGGGUCGGGAUGAACCUCGGGAAGGGCUCCGGGAAGGGCUCCGGCUCCGCCUGGCGUUAGGAGCUCGAGGACUGCCAUGCCCUUAGGUGCCCAUUGCCAGCCCCUGCUGUGAGAUGGCCACUCCAGAGCCCCCCCUGGGUGGGACCCCCCGGCCUGGCCCCUCCCCCGGGCCUGGCCCCUCCCCCAGCUCCAUGCUGGGCCCUCCCCCGGCCCCUCCCCUGGCUCCGCCCACUCCGGGC